GGGGUCGUAGCUCGAAGGCAGAGCAGGCGACUUUUAAUCGCCAAGGUGCGGGUUCGAGUCCCGCGGGCCCCUCCA
RNAcentral lists this transfer RNA (75 nucleotides) under marine sediment metagenome. Its description in RNAcentral is "tRNA-Lys". It matches the Rfam family "tRNA". From Rfam's summary of the family: Transfer RNA (tRNA) molecules are approximately 80 nucleotides in length. Their secondary structure includes four short double-helical elements and three loops (D, anti-codon, and T loops). The record is from RNAcentral.